This 258-nucleotide unclassified non-coding RNA is filed under the name Hevea brasiliensis (rubber tree). The record is from RNAcentral. Lineage: Eukaryota; Viridiplantae; Streptophyta; Magnoliopsida; Malpighiales; Euphorbiaceae.
AAUGCGAUGCCAGCCGGCCGACCGCGAUGGUCGCCUGCUCCGAUGGAUGGUCGCGUAGCACGCGGACCACUUCGGAGAACAGCACGAACGACGACAGGAAGCGUUCCGGGCCGGAGCGCUCAUAGGCCAGUUCGCUGGUCACCUGAUGCCAGCCGUUGCCCAUCUCGCCGAUCAGCGCCGACGAUGGCACGAAGACAUCCUCGAACGCCACCUCGUUGAAGUGUUUCGCGCCGGUGAGAUCGGCGAUCGGGCGGAUGG